This 669-nucleotide ribosomal RNA is filed under the name uncultured beta proteobacterium. Its description in RNAcentral is "partial 16S ribosomal RNA". Lineage: Bacteria; Pseudomonadati; Pseudomonadota; Betaproteobacteria. The record is from RNAcentral.
CUUGUUACGACUUCACCCCAGUCAUGAAUCCUACCGUGGUAAUCGUCCCCCUUGCGGAUAGACUAACUACUUCUGGUAAAACCCACUCCCAUGGUGUGACGGGCGGUGUGUACAAGGCCCGGGAACGUAUUCACCGCGACAUGCUGAUCCGCGAUUACUAGCGAUUCCGACUUCAUGCUGUCGAGUUGCAGACAACAAUCCGGACUACGACCGGCUUUCUGAGAUUGGCUCCCCCUCGCGGGUUGGCUUCCCUCUGUACCGACCAUUGUAUUACGUGUGAAGCCCUGGCCAUAAGGGCCAUGAGGACUUGACGUCAUCCCCACCUUCCUCCGGUUUGUCACCGGCAGUCCCAUUAAAGUGCCCAACUAAAUGAUGGCAAUUAAUGGCAAGGGUUGCGCUCGUUGCGGGACUUAACCCAACAUCUCACGACACGAGCUGACGACAGCCAUGCAGCACCUGUGUUACCGUUCUCUUUCGAGCACUAAAGCAUCUCUGCUAAAUUCGGUACAUGUCAAGGCCAGGUAAGGUUUUUCGCGUUGCAUCGAAUUAAUCCACAUAAUCCACCGCUUGUGCGGGCCCCCGUCAAUUCAUUUGAGUUUUAAUCUUGCGACCGUACUCCCCAGGCGGUCUACUUCACGCGNUUAGCUGCGUUACUCAUGGAUUUUACUC